UAGCAUAUCAAUAAGCGGAGGAAAAGAAACCAACAGGGAUUGCCCCCAGUAACGGCGAGUGAAGCGGCAACAGCUCAAAUUUGAAAUCUGGCCCUUACGGGUCCGAGUUGUAAUUUGUAGAGGAUGCUUUUGGCAAGGCGCCGCCCGAGUUCCCUGGAACGGGACGCCACAGAGGGUGAGAGCCCCGUCUGGCUGGCCGCCGAGCCUCUGUAAAGCUCCUUCGACGAGUCGAGUAGUUUGGGAAUGCUGCUCAAAAUGGGAGGUAUAUGUCUUCUAAAGCUAAAUAUUGGCCAGAGACCGAUAGCGCACAAGUAGAGUGAUCGAAAGAUGAAAAGCACCUUGAAAAGAGGGUUAAAUAGUACGUGAAAUUGUUGAAAGGGAAGCGCUUGUGACCAGACUUGGGCGCGGCGGAUCAUCCGGGGUUCUCCCCGGUGCACUUCGCCGUGUCCAGGCCAGCAUCAGUUCGUCGCGGGGGAAAAAGGCUUCGGGAACGUGGCUCCCCUGGGAGUGUUAUAGCCCGUUGCAUAAUACCCUGCGGUGGACUGAGGACCGCGCAUCUGCAAGGAUGCUGGCGUAAUGGUCACCAGCGACCCGUCUUGAAACACGGACCAAGGAGUCGUCUUCGUAUGCGAGUGUUCGGGUGUCAAACCCCUACGCGUAAUGAAAGUGAACGCAGGUGAGAGCUUCGGCGCAUCAUCGACCGAUCCUGAUGUUCUCGGAUGGAUUUGAGUAAGAGCAUACGGGGCCGGACCCGAAAGAAGGUGAACUAUGCCUGUAUAGGGUGAAGCCAGAGGAAACUCUGGUGGAGGCUCGCAGCGGUUCUGACGUGCAAAUCGAUCGUCAAAUAUGGGCAUGGGGGCGAAAGACUAAUCGAACCUUCUAGUAGCUGGUUUCCGCCGAU
Molecule: ribosomal RNA, 901 nt
Filed under: Trichoderma parareesei
Lineage: Eukaryota; Fungi; Ascomycota; Sordariomycetes; Hypocreales; Hypocreaceae
Description: LSU rRNA
Rfam family: Eukaryotic large subunit ribosomal RNA
Source: RNAcentral